CGGAGGGGUUUUAGUUGGUAGGCGCCGUCGGUUAGGUUCGCCUAUCCGGCGGUGAAUCCAACACUACCCGGGGAUGGUUCCCCCGAGUGUUUUUGGAAGAUUUCCCCUUCG
Molecule: non-coding RNA, 111 nt
Organism: Cyphomyrmex costatus
Lineage: Eukaryota; Metazoa; Arthropoda; Insecta; Hymenoptera; Formicidae
Source: Rfam